This 497-nucleotide ribosomal RNA is filed under the name uncultured bacterium. Its description in RNAcentral is "partial 16S ribosomal RNA". It matches the Rfam family "Bacterial small subunit ribosomal RNA", at positions 28 to 507 of the family's 1533-position model. The record is from RNAcentral.
GAUGAACGCUGGCGGCGUGCCUAAUACAUGCAAGUCGAGCGAACAGACGAGGAGCUUGCUCCUCUGACGUUAGCGGCGGACGGGUGAGUAACACGUGGAUAACCUACCUAUAAGACUGGGAUAACUUCGGGAAACCGGAGCUAAUACCGGAUAAUAUAUUGAACCGCAUGGUUCAAUAGUGAAAGACGGUUUUGCUGUCACUUAUAGAUGGAUCCGCGCCGCAUUAGCUAGUUGGUAAGGUAACGGCUUACCAAGGCAACGAUGCGUAGCCGACCUGAGAGGGUGAUCGGCCAGCCUGGAACUGAGACACGUCCCAGACUCCUACGGUAGGCCGCAGUAGGGAAUCUUCCGCAAUGGGGGAAAGCCUGACGGAGCGACACCGCGUGAGGGAUGAAGGUCUUCGGAUCGUAAAACGCUGUUAUUAGGGGAGAACAAAUGUGUAAGUAACUGUGCACGUCUUGACGGUACCUAAUCAAAAAGCCACGGCUAACUACGUG